RNAcentral lists this ribosomal RNA (507 nucleotides) under uncultured bacterium. RNAcentral's name for it is "partial 16S ribosomal RNA". It matches the Rfam family "Bacterial small subunit ribosomal RNA", at positions 28 to 507 of the family's 1533-position model. The record is from RNAcentral.
GACGAACGCUGGCGGCGUGCUUAACACAUGCAAGUCGAACGGGCCUUGUCCCCUUUUUUUUUGGGGGUGGGGUUAGUGGCGAACGGGUGAGUAACACGUGAGUAACCUGCCCCUCACUUCUGGAUAACCGCUUGAAAGGGUGGCUAAUACGGGGUGUUCUGGCCUGCUCGCAUGGGUGGGUUUGGAAAGAUUCGACCGGUUUGGUGGUUUUGGUGGGGGAUGGGCUCGCGGCCUAUCAGCUUGUUGGUGGGGUGAUGGCCUGCCAAGGCUUUGACGGGUAGCCGGCCUGAGAGGGUGGGCGGUCACACUGGGACUGAGACACGGCCCAGACUCAUACGGGAGGCAGCAGUGGGGAAUAUUGCACAAUGGGCGCAAGCCUGAUGCAGCGACGCCGCGUGAGGGAUGGAGGCCUUCGGGUUGUGAACCUCUUUCGCCAGUGAAGAAGGUCCUGCUCUUUGUGGUGGGAUUGACGGUAGCUGGGUUAAUGAAGCGCCGGCUAACUACGUG